Molecule: long non-coding RNA, 219 nt
Filed under: Lathyrus oleraceus (garden pea)
Lineage: Eukaryota; Viridiplantae; Streptophyta; Magnoliopsida; Fabales; Fabaceae
Description: Pisum sativum (pea) long non-coding RNA (PSAT_LNC026828)
Source: RNAcentral
GGGUCAUUUUGAAGAUUCAGCCUGAGAAUCGUUUUCCAGUGAUCCAGCCUGAGGGUCAUUUUGAAGAUUCAGCCUGAGAAUCGUUUUCCAGUGAUCCAGCCUGAGGGUCAUUUUGAAGAUUCAGCCUGAGAAUCGUGUUCCAGUGAUCCAGCCUGAGGGUCAUUUCGAAGAUUCAGCCUGAGAAUCGUGUUCCAGUGAUCCAGCCUGAGGGUCAUUUCG